GACGAACCGUCCUAACGUUGUUCGGAAUCACUGGGCUUAAAGGGCGCGUAGGCGGGUUCCCAAGUCGGUGGUGAAAUCUUUCGGCCCAACCGGAAAACAGCCGCCGAUACUGGGAGUCUUGAGGGAGGUAGGGGUCGAUGGAAUUCCCGGUGUAGUGGUGAAAUGCGUAGAGAUCGGGAGGGACACCUGUGGCGAAGGCGGCCCCCUGGGCCGGCCCUGACACUGAGACGCGAAGGCGUGGGGAGCGAACGGG
RNAcentral lists this ribosomal RNA (253 nucleotides) under uncultured bacterium. RNAcentral's name for it is "partial 16S ribosomal RNA". It matches the Rfam family "Bacterial small subunit ribosomal RNA", at positions 524 to 776 of the family's 1533-position model. The record is from RNAcentral.